Molecule: ribosomal RNA, 301 nt
Filed under: uncultured bacterium
Lineage: Bacteria
Description: partial 16S ribosomal RNA
Rfam family: Bacterial small subunit ribosomal RNA
Source: RNAcentral
CAGUCGCCGCGGGAAUACGUAGGUGGCAAGCGUUGUCCGGAUUUAUUGGGCGUAAAGCGAGCGCAGGCGGUUUCUUAAGUCUGAUGUGAAAGCCCCCGGCUCAACCGGGGAGGGUCAUUGGAAACUGGGAAACUUGAGUGCAGAAGAGGAGAGUGGAAUUCCAUGUGUAGCGGUGAAAUGCGUAGAUAUAUGGAGGAACACCAGUGGCGAAGGCGGCUCUCUGGUCUGUAACUGACGCUGAGGCUCGAAAGCGUGGGGAGCAAACAGGAUUAGAUACCCCUGUAGUCCCUGUCUCUUAUAA